AUUGAACGCUGGCGGCAGGCUUAACACACGCAAGUCGAGCGGGGUGAUGGUGCUUGCACUAUCACUUAGCGGCGGACGGGUGAGUAAUGCUUAGGAAUCUGCCUAUUAGUGGGGGACAACAUCUCGAAAGGGAUGCUAAUACCGCAUACGUCCUACGGGAGAAAGCAGGGGAUCACUUGUGACCUUGCGCUAAUAGAUGAGCCUAAGUCGGAUUAGCUAGUUGGUGGGGUAAAGGCCUACCAAGGCGACGAUCUGUAGCGGGUCUGAGAGGAUGAUCCGCCACACUGGGGCUGAGACAGGGCCCAGACUCCUACGGGAGGCAGCAGGGGGGAAUAUUGGACAAUGGGGGGAACCCUGAUCCAGCCAUGCCGCGUGUGUGAAGAAGGCCUUAUGGUUGUAAAGCACUGUAAGCGAGGAGGAGGCUCUUUUGGUUAAUACCCAAGAUGAGUGGACGUUACUCGCAGAAUAAGCACCGGCUAACUCUGUGCCAGCCGCCGCAGUAA
This 503-nucleotide ribosomal RNA is filed under the name uncultured bacterium. RNAcentral describes it as "partial 16S ribosomal RNA". It matches the Rfam family "Bacterial small subunit ribosomal RNA", at positions 30 to 523 of the family's 1533-position model. The record is from RNAcentral.